GGCAGUAUGGCUGAUUUAAGCGGUAAUCUGUAAAAUUACCCAUAGGACUACAACCUUGCUGCCA
RNAcentral lists this transfer RNA (64 nucleotides) under Pseudoleptodeira latifasciata. RNAcentral's name for it is "tRNA-Tyr". The record is from RNAcentral. Lineage: Eukaryota; Metazoa; Chordata; Lepidosauria; Squamata; Dipsadidae.